This 960-nucleotide ribosomal RNA is filed under the name Campylobacter jejuni. Its description in RNAcentral is "bacterial SSU rRNA". It matches the Rfam family "Bacterial small subunit ribosomal RNA", at positions 469 to 1424 of the family's 1533-position model. Lineage: Bacteria; Pseudomonadati; Campylobacterota; Epsilonproteobacteria; Campylobacterales; Campylobacteraceae. The record is from RNAcentral.
CUGACGGUACCUAAAGGAAUAAGCACCGGGCUAACUCCCGUGCCAGCAGCCGCGGUAAUACGGAGGGUGCAGCGUUACUCGGAAUCACUGGGCGUAAAGGGCGCGUAGGCGGAUUAUCAAGUCUCUUGUGAAAUCUAAUGGCUUAACCAUUAAACUGCUUGGGAAACUGAUAGUCUAGAGUGAGGGAGAGGCAGAUGGAAUUGGUGGUGUAGGGGUAAAAUCCGUAGAUAUCACCAAGAAUACCCAUUGCGAAGGCGAUCUGCUGGAACUCAACUGACGCUAAGGCGCGAAAGCGUGGGGAGCAAACAGGAUUAGAUACCCUGGUAGUCCACGCCCUAAACGAUGUACACUAGUUGUUGGGGUGCUAGUCAUCUCAGUAAUGCAGCUAACGCAUUAAGUGUACCGCCUGGGGAGUACGGUCGCAAGAUUAAAACUCAAAGGAAUAGACGGGGACCCGCACAAGCGGUGGAGCAUGUGGUUUAAUUCGAAGAUACGCGAAGAACCUUACCUGGGCUUGAUAUCCUAAGAACCUUUUAGAGAUAAGAGGGUGCUAGCUUGCUAGAACUUAGAGACAGGUGCUGCACGGCUGUCGUCAGCUCGUGUCGUGAGAUGUUGGGUUAAGUCCCGCAACGAGCGCAACCCACGUAUUUAGUUGCUAACGGUUCGGCCGAGCACUCUAAAUAGACUGCCUUCGUAAGGAGGAGGAAGGUGUGGACGACGUCAAGUCAUCAUGGCCCUUAUGCCCAGGGCGACACACGUGCUACAAUGGCAUAUACAAUGAGACGCAAUACCGCGAGGUGGAGCAAAUCUAUAAAAUAUGUCCCAGUUCGGAUUGUUCUCUGCAACUCGAGAGCAUGAAGCCGGAAUCGCUAGUAAUCGUAGAUCAGCCAUGCUACGGUGAAUACGUUCCCGGGUCUUGUACUCACCGCCCGUCACACCAUGGGAGUUGAUUUCACUCGA